This 240-nucleotide long non-coding RNA is filed under the name Elaeis guineensis (African oil palm). RNAcentral's name for it is "long non-coding RNA (EGUI_LNC040006)". Lineage: Eukaryota; Viridiplantae; Streptophyta; Magnoliopsida; Arecales; Arecaceae. The record is from RNAcentral.
CUAUCUGAUCUGAUGGCUGAUGUAGAAUCCUACAUAUUUGGAACUCAGUGAUCGAGAAUCAGGAUUCUCUGAUCAUGAGUUCCACACAUUAUGGGUACCGGGGUCAAGAGUCCCAUUGGUUGGGACUUUUCGAUCAGGGUUACAUAUCGAUGAAUUCUGAUGCCUGAUUGCCCAUCGGAUUUGGACUCAGUAUUUAUGAGAGGUUUAAUUAGUGAUUUGAUCGCUAAUUAACUCAAUUUG